GACGAACGCUGGCGGCGUGCUUAACACAUGCAAGUCGAACGGAAAGGCCUGCUUUCCCUUGUGGAUUGCGGGUACUCGCGUGGCGAACGGGUGAGUAACACGUGAGUUAUCUGCCCCCAACUUGGGUAUAAGCCUGGGAAACUGGGUCUAAUUCCCGAUAGUACUGCAGGGUGGUGCCUGUGGUGGAAAACGAUUUUCUAGUGGUUGGGGAUGAGCUCGCGGCCUAUCAGCUUGUUGGUGGGGUAAUGGCCUACCAAGGCGGCGACGGGUAGCCGGCCUGAGAGGGUGGACGGGCACAUUGAGACUGAGAUACGGCCCAGACUACUACGGGAGGCAGCAGUGGGGGAUGUUGCACAAUGGGCGGAAGCCUGAGGCAGCGACGCCGCGUGGGGGAUGACGGCCUUCGGGUUGUAAACUCCUUUCGACCGCGAGGAAGCCACCUGGUUGGAAGGGUGGUGACGGUAGUGGUAGAAGAAGCACCGGCUAACUACGUG
RNAcentral lists this ribosomal RNA (494 nucleotides) under uncultured bacterium. RNAcentral describes it as "partial 16S ribosomal RNA". It matches the Rfam family "Bacterial small subunit ribosomal RNA", at positions 28 to 507 of the family's 1533-position model. The record is from RNAcentral.